RNAcentral lists this ribosomal RNA (447 nucleotides) under uncultured bacterium. Its description in RNAcentral is "partial 16S ribosomal RNA". It matches the Rfam family "Bacterial small subunit ribosomal RNA", at positions 29 to 523 of the family's 1533-position model. The record is from RNAcentral.
AACGAACGCUGGCGGCAGGCUUAACACAUGCAAGUCGAACGCCCCGCAAGGAGAGUGGCAGACGGGUGAGUAACGCGUGGGAAUCUACCCAGAACUUCGGAACAACUGAGGGAAACUUCAGCUAAUACCGGAUACGCACUACGGGGGAAAGAUUUAUCGGUUUUGGAUGAGACCGUGUUGGAUUAGCUAAUUGGUGGGGUAAUGGCUCACCAAGGCGACGAACCAUAACUGGUCUGAAAGGAUGAUCAGCCACACUGGGACUGAGACACGGCCCAGACUCCUACGGGAUGCAGCAGUGGGGAAUAUUGAACAAUGGGCGAAAGCCUGAUCCAGCCAUGCCGCGUGAGUGAUGAAGGCCUUAGGGUUGUAAAGCUCUUUCAGUGGGGAAGAUAAUGACGGUACCCACAGAAGAAGCCCCGGCUAACUUCGUGCCAGCCGCCGCCGUAA